Molecule: non-coding RNA, 268 nt
Organism: Mus musculus (house mouse)
Lineage: Eukaryota; Metazoa; Chordata; Mammalia; Rodentia; Muridae
Source: Rfam
UGGCACCCAAUGUGGGGCCUCCAGAAAGACAGACCCUGUGUGAGACAUUAAUGGAAGAAGGGUCAACAGAAAAUUCAAAAGUGAAACAAAGGUGAUUGCCAUGGGCACCUGCUAUGUUGAGACAGGUGAAUCAUAGUAAUGAAAAUGGGGCAAGAAAUAAGUCAGCAUGAACUAUAUGUGGAACAAAUGAGGAAGGCUUUAAAGACUCGGGGAGUAGAGGUAAAAAUUCAGCAUUUGUUGUCGUUUUUUUGUUUGUUUGUUUGUUUGU